AAACAGUGAAAUUUUGAGGAUGGUUUUGCAUCCUUGCCUAUCCUAGGUAAUAGCAAUUGAUGGACCUAUCCUCCGUGAACUUAUAUAGUUCUUUUUUUA
This is a non-coding RNA of Chelonoidis abingdonii (Abingdon island giant tortoise), 99 nucleotides long. The record is from RefSeq and is a predicted model, not a curated record. NCBI's taxonomy places the organism in Eukaryota, Metazoa, Chordata, Testudines, Testudinidae.